AAGCAAGCGAUUUCAUUUUUAUAAAUUUCGGGCGAAAAUGACUCUGUUUAAACUGGUUUUCUUAAUUACGCAGAUCUGUCUGAUAGUAUCGUCUGUCACGGCCGCUCGCUCGUUAAGAAAUAUUAUAGGAAGGCCGUGCACCGAAGAAGAUAGCGAAUUUCGCGAAGGAAACUACAACUGUUACUGUAGUGAAUACGGCAUAACGUUGCAUUGUGAACCGGAUUAUGACAUGAUGCUGCUCUAGUGAACUCACCCCAAAAAGCGUCUUAUCUCGGCAUCAUUAAAUUACAACAAGAGUCUUCAAAGGGCUUAUGGUCUUUUCUGAAGUAAAACUGUACAUUCUAGGUAGUAGACGAGCAUGAGCGCACAUAGAAAUAAAUCAUUUUAGUAUUUUGGUGCCAGCCUA
Molecule: long non-coding RNA, 406 nt
Organism: Toxorhynchites rutilus septentrionalis
Lineage: Eukaryota; Metazoa; Arthropoda; Insecta; Diptera; Culicidae
Exons: 2
Source: RefSeq, a predicted model, not a curated record